GUGACUUUAGUUUAUUUAUAGAAUACUGGUUUGUCUAAUCAGGGGGGGCGUUAGGCCAAGUUACU
RNAcentral lists this transfer RNA (65 nucleotides) under Sparganum proliferum. Its description in RNAcentral is "trnD(gtc)". The record is from RNAcentral. Lineage: Eukaryota; Metazoa; Platyhelminthes; Cestoda; Diphyllobothriidea; Diphyllobothriidae.